CAGAUCUAAAGGACUGUCGGUUUGCGUCGGGCUUCGUAGUGCUCGGAGUGGCAGUUCCCGCGGCGGCUCGGGUAAACAAGCUGACGCCGUUGACCGAAGAGUGAGAUUUUGUGUAUAAACUCCUGAGAAUCGACCGUUGCUGACUUUAACAAAUAUAUUGUGACUGAAAAGGUAUCAGCAGCGUCUGCUGUUUGUCUUAAAUGUGGUGAAAUGUAAUAAAACAAGGAACACCGAAUCGGAUGAAAGGUGCCGCGGCCAUGGGCACCUCCACGUCCCAUGGCGGGGUGGUCCUCCAGCCAGGCAGCGGCAUCAUUUAUGGACGCGUACAGGCCGUGGACUUGGUCGGUGCCCUUUGAGUGCAGCCCGCACGCCUCCCUGGCACACACGGCAACGCAGGCGAGGCUCACUAUGCAGUCCAGCACGCCGAGCAGCACCAGCGCCCCAGACACCAGCACGGCGGGCCGCUGCACCAACACUUCGCCAAGCACCUCGACCUCCUCCUGCGUCUCCUGAAAUGUAAUUAAAGAACGUUAUGUGCUGCUCCCUCCGACAACACACAGAAGCAACUUAGUGCAGGAUUUAAUGAGCUGGUGUCCUCUUCUAUUUUAUCUCAUCAUGCUCCGUUACUCCACUUUGUGCAAGUCCACCGUUAUCCUGAGUUCUGGCCUUAGUAUCUAUCGGCUACCGAAGACGUAUCAUCAUAGCUGUUUCCGCCGCUGCACGCCUCCCCCUCCUGUGACCUGGAACGCAACCGGACGAAGGAACACACGCUGUGGCCCCCGUGUGAGCUGGCUGCGGAGCGCGUCGCCGCCCCCUCAACUCUGAAUGGGAGGGAGUACACGCGUAGCUUCCUAGCGGUUGUUCCUGACACUGCAACUAAACCCAGGCAUUGCAAGGGAGCGUCCGUUGUGAUCGUGUGUACGGAGAAGCUUGAUUGUAUCGUCCCCGUAUACCGAGAAAGUGUUGUCAUGUGGGACUGAUCAGGGGACAAUAAUGACUGCAAUAUCGUUGGUAUGUGUAUAGAUUUCCUUAAUGGCGAC
Eriocheir sinensis (Chinese mitten crab) is the source of this 1040-nucleotide long non-coding RNA. RefSeq lists it as uncharacterized. Lineage: Eukaryota; Metazoa; Arthropoda; Malacostraca; Decapoda; Varunidae. The record is from RefSeq and is a predicted model, not a curated record. The transcript is spliced from 3 exons.